GUAGGGUGCGAGCGUUGUCCGGAAUUAUUGGGCGUAAAGGGCUCGUAGGCGGUUUGUCGCGUCGGGGGUGAAAACCCAGGGCUUAACCCUGGGCUGGCUUCCGAUACGGGCAGACUAGAGGUAUGCAGGGGAGAACGGAAUUCCUGGUGUAGCGGUGAAAUGCGCAGAUAUCAGGAGGAACACCGGUGGCGAAGGCGGUUCUCUGGGCAUUACCUGACGCUGAGGAGCGAAAGUGUGGGGAGCGAACAGGAUUAGAUACCCUGGUAGUCCACACCGUAAACGUUGGGCGCUAGGUGUGGGGUCCAUUCCACGGAUUCCGUGCCGCAGCUAACGCAUUAAGCGCCCCGCCUGGGGAGUACGGCCGCAAGGCUA
This 372-nucleotide ribosomal RNA is filed under the name uncultured organism. Its description in RNAcentral is "bacterial SSU rRNA". It matches the Rfam family "Bacterial small subunit ribosomal RNA", at positions 527 to 896 of the family's 1533-position model. The record is from RNAcentral.